CAAGGGGUAUACAGAAGAAAGCAUCUUUUAAGUCAAUUACAGUAAACCAUUUAUAUAUCUCUUUUAUGGAUGCUAACAAUGUAUAGGGAUUGGCAACUACUGGAUGAAUGUCUUUUGUUAUUUCAUUUAUACUUCUUAAAUCCUGUACAAGUCUAUACUCACCAUUGGGUUUCUUCACUGGGAAAAUUGGGGUGUUGUAUUCUGAUUUACAUUCCUCUAGAAUUCGAUAUUUUAAAAAUUUAUCAAUGGUCUUUGCUAUUCCCUGUCGUGCUUCUGGUUUUAUAGGGUAUUGUUUAAUUCGUACAGCCUUUGCUCCUUCUUUUAACUCUACAUGUACCGGUUGUGCCAAUUUAGAUUUUCCAGGUACAUCUGUUUCCCAGACAGAGGGAAUUACUGCAUCUUCUACUUCUUUAGGAAUAUUAGAAAUUGGUUUUUCUUUUAUCAUCAAAAUCUUUCCUGUCUUAGACUCCGGAAUUUUCAUUACGAGUUCACCAUUCUCAAAAGUAAUUACUGCCUCUAGUGCUGCCAGUAGAUCGCGCCCUAAGAGCGGAGUUGGGCAGUCUGGCAUGUAUAAGAAUUCAUGGGUCAAGAUCUUAUCUUCAAAGCUCAAUUCUAGGGGUUGCAAGAAUGGCCGUACCUCCUCCUUCCCUGUGGCUCCAACGACUGCUGCUGACUUGUUCCCGAUUUGCCCCUCAAGAUAAUUUAGUACAGAAUGUGUGGCCCCCGUGUCAAUGAGAAAAUCUACGUCUUUUCCUUCUAAAUGCAAAGUCACCAUGGGCUCUCUUGAUCCUGUCUCCCUCUCAUGUAAAACCAUGACCCUGGCUACACCAUCCAGCUGAUGCUCACCACUUUGAUUAAACAUACUGUCUAACUGAGGCUGACCAUUCUGGCUAAACCGGUUUGGACACUCCCUUUUCCAGUGUCCCUCCAUCCGACAAUAUGCACACUGAUUCAGACCUAAUCUACCAUGACCAGAACCUCUGCCAAAGCCACCUCUAUUAACGCCACGACCACCUCUACCAUGCCCCCGCCCCUGUCUCUGUAAGACUGCCAAAAGGCUUUGCCCCUGUUUCUUGACAAUUUCUCUGUCCCUGUUAUUAUAAACUUUCCAGGCAACCUCUAGGAGUUUAUCCAAGUUUCUUAACUCUUCCCCUUCCAGUUUCUGUAGCUUUUUCCUAAUAUCUUCCUGUGCCUGACCCAGAAAAAUAAAGGCAAGCUGAGUUCUUCCUUUGAAGAUCAGUAUAUUUUCUUUCAGCGGGUGUGGGCGGGGGAGCAGGAUAGCUUUGAGCAGGUGUAUGUGGAGAAGGGGGGGGUUCUCUGAGCAGGCAGAGGAGAGGCAAGCGGAGGAGCGGCUGGCACAGGCAGAGGAGGAUCAGCAGACAAAGAUACAUAAAAACCACAGAUGCCGAACCUGCAACGCUUUCGCGAUGUCUGACGGACGGCUGCCUAGGCAAUACCACCAGGAAUUCCUUUUGCCCAACCAAGCGUAGCUUUCGCUGCGUCUUAAUGGCAGGCCCCCAGACCAGAGAAUAAAGAACCUUACCUCUCACCAGGGGUCGUUGUGAGCGGCGAGGGUCGCGGCUCCGAUGGGCUCCCCGAGAAAUCACCCGGUGCCGGCUGGAGCGUGAUCGGGUCGCGGGGUCCUGGCUGCGCCCACAAGGUCCCAUCUGGGUCGCCAAAAAUGUUAGCGUAGGAAAACAUAUAACCACACAGAGGCGAUCAUAUGCGGUUCUUUAUUCCAGCGCGCGGGACACCGGGGUGAUAAUACACCCAAAUCUGAUGUCCAAAGCAUACAGAGUCGAUUCGUGAUUUUUAUAGUUUAAAUUAUACACAUGUUAACUAACCCCCACCCC
This is a long non-coding RNA of Prinia subflava (tawny-flanked prinia), 1853 nucleotides long. RefSeq lists it as uncharacterized. Lineage: Eukaryota; Metazoa; Chordata; Aves; Passeriformes; Cisticolidae. The record is from RefSeq and is a predicted model, not a curated record. The transcript is spliced from 2 exons.